Molecule: ribosomal RNA, 305 nt
Filed under: uncultured bacterium
Lineage: Bacteria
Description: bacterial SSU rRNA
Rfam family: Bacterial small subunit ribosomal RNA
Source: RNAcentral
CUGCCCUACGGGGCGCAGCAGUGAGGAAUAUUGGUCAAUGGGCGCGAGCCUGAACCAGCCAAGUAGCGUGAAGGAUGACUGCCCUACGGGUUGGAAACUUCUUUUAUAAAGGAAUAAAGUGAGGCACGUGUGCCUUUUUGUAUGUACUUUAUGAAUAAGGAUCGGCUAACUCCGUGCCAGCAGCCGCGGUAAUACGGAGGAUCCGAGCGUUAUCCGGAUUUAUUGGGGUUAAAGGGAGCGUAGAUGGGUUGUUAAGACAGUUGUGAAAGAUUGCGGCUCAAACGUAAAAUUGCAAUUGAUACGGG